Long non-coding RNA from Papaver somniferum (opium poppy), 1657 nucleotides. RefSeq lists it as uncharacterized. NCBI's taxonomy places the organism in Eukaryota, Viridiplantae, Streptophyta, Magnoliopsida, Ranunculales, Papaveraceae. The record is from RefSeq and is a predicted model, not a curated record. The transcript is spliced from 5 exons.
CUCAUGAAAAUUUGACGAGAAGAAUCCAGCAAACUUUUCUCUGGCUCCGGUGAUCCUAAUUAGCUCAAGAACAAUCAAUCACCACCAUCAACAACAAUCGAUCACUGCAAUUCGAUAAAAUCCACAAUUGACGCAGAUUUCCUUUCCGAAACCUAAUUUUGGGUUUAAAAAAUUAAUUCUUUUUUCUCAUCUUUUCUCUUCAAUAUCAAUCUCAAACUCUAUGCAGCCGAACAUACCCUGAUUUUGGAGGGUAUUCAUUCAAUCUUAUUAUUUCCAUGAUGUUGUAGUUUUUUUCAAGGAGGAUUCAUUCAUCUAGAGCUGCUGCUGGUGUUUAAAUUAGAGGUAGAAUCAAUUGCAACUCAGAUGCUGAAAGUCAACUCGAUUCUUACGUUGGUUUCGGCCUUGAAUGCAGGUAGAAGCAAUAUGAGGUUGGUUUCGGCCUCUGUAAGAUUCUGUCUACAGAGUCUGUUAUGAGAGGUUCGUGAAGCGUGGAUUGUUUCGAGAAAUUGGAGCGGAUUGGUAAAGGCACGAAUGGGCAAGUCUAUUCUUUUUUGUUAGUAUUGUUAUGAACUGACAAGGUGUUUGAGUAAGUGCCAUAGCUUAAGAUUUUAUUGCAAUAGAUUUCGAAAUUCAGACCUCUUGAAGAGACAAAGAUUGAUAAAAAUAAUCAGCGAACCGUAUAAAACUAAACUGAUAAAAUCAAAUAGAAAUUAGAGAAAUCUAUAGGUGUUCAAAGUGUUUCAGCGAGUAGAGGAAAAGGAUAGCAGAGGUAGGUAAGAAGAAAGAUGAAAACUUGGUUAGUAAACACGAAUUCUAGGGCCUGCUCAUUAAUUUUUAGCUUUUCUCCUGUUCUUUAUUCUUUGUUCUUCCAUUUAAUCUCACUAUUACUUUAACAUCAAUCGGUAGGUACGUCCGGAUAUUCAGAGAUGUGAUGCUUGGAGGUUUGAUUGGGAAAAUGGUUUUAAAGUAAUGGCUGUAGCAGCACCAUGAUAGUUUAAUUUUGUUGUGGCGUACGAGAAAUUGGAGCAGAUUGGUGAAGGCACAAAUGGAAAAAACAUAGGAUUUCAAGCUUAUCGUUCAGGUUUAUAGUUGAGCUUUAAAUCCAGAUCUCGCAGAUGGACAAUGAAUACCAACGGAAGAGGUGCUUCUUCGAUUAAUAUAUAUUUUUAACAUAUAUUUCGUAUUAUCACUCAAAAGUCUCAGAAGUGCUCAUUUGCACAUUUAACAUUCUUUGCCGUAUUCACUUCGUCCCCUUUUUUAUAUUAGGAUUCAAUGCUCCAGCAGUAUUGGGUUUUAAUUACACCAUCAGUUGUUUUUAUAUGCUACAAAAGGUGUCUAAUAUGAAACUGGAAACCAGUUAUGGACUUCGUGUUAUCUUCUAUGAAAUAUUAGGGACUUCAUUGAAGGGUUUGAAGCAAGAAACUACAGUAAAGAUGGGUUGCUGCAGAGCAGAGUUGAGCUGAAAGUUGAUUAAUGGUGGACAAGUUGUGGUUCGACUUUGAGGAAUCAAUGCUGUUGUGAUACUGUGAUGCUUGUAGUUGCAGGAAAUCCUACACUACACCCUCACAAGAUUUCAUUAACAUUCAACUCAUUUUAGAUUAAUAAUCUUAAUUUUAUUGAUAAAUCUUUGAAAAAUCUUACAAGAAAAGAUAAAGGA